CUGUAACUAAUGUUAAGACCUCUUUUUGCGUCAACAGCAGUUCACCUAGUGAGUGUUGAUGCUUUGGGUCUGAGUGA
Non-coding RNA from Otolemur garnettii (small-eared galago), 77 nucleotides. The record is from Rfam. Lineage: Eukaryota; Metazoa; Chordata; Mammalia; Primates; Galagidae.